UACGGGGGGGGCAAGCGUUGUUCGGAAUUACUGGGCGUAAAGGGCUCGUAGGCGGCCAACUAAGUCAGACGUGAAAUCCCCAGGCUUAACCUGGGAACUGCGUCUGAUACUGGAUGGCUUGAAUUCGGGAGAGGGAUGCAGAAUUCCAGGUGUAGCGGUGAAAUGCAUAGAUAUCUGGAGGAAUACCGGUGGCGAAGGCGGCAUCCUGGACCGAGAUUGACGCUGAUGAGCGAAAGCUAGGGGAGCAAACGGG
RNAcentral lists this ribosomal RNA (253 nucleotides) under uncultured bacterium. RNAcentral's name for it is "partial 16S ribosomal RNA". It matches the Rfam family "Bacterial small subunit ribosomal RNA", at positions 524 to 776 of the family's 1533-position model. The record is from RNAcentral.